GCUCCGAUAGUCUAGCCCGGUCAAGGACGCUGGCCUUUCAAGCCAGUAACCCGGGUUCAAAUCCCGGUCGGAGCA
RNAcentral lists this transfer RNA (75 nucleotides) under Microcaldota archaeon. RNAcentral describes it as "Candidatus Micrarchaeota archaeon (hot springs metagenome) tRNA-Glu". It matches the Rfam family "tRNA". From Rfam's summary of the family: Transfer RNA (tRNA) molecules are approximately 80 nucleotides in length. Their secondary structure includes four short double-helical elements and three loops (D, anti-codon, and T loops). Further hydrogen bonds mediate the characteristic L-shaped molecular structure. tRNAs have two regions of fundamental functional importance: the anti-codon, which is responsible for specific mRNA codon recognition, and the 3' end, to which the tRNAs corresponding amino acid is attached (by aminoacyl-tRNA synthetases). tRNAs cope with the degeneracy of the genetic code in two manners: having more than one tRNA (with a specific anti-codon) for a particular amino acid; and 'wobble' base-pairing, i.e. permitting non-standard base-pairing at the 3rd anti-codon position. Lineage: Archaea; Nanobdellati; Microcaldota. The record is from RNAcentral.